RNAcentral lists this ribosomal RNA (253 nucleotides) under Escherichia coli. RNAcentral describes it as "partial 16S ribosomal RNA". It matches the Rfam family "Bacterial small subunit ribosomal RNA", at positions 1 to 250 of the family's 1533-position model. Lineage: Bacteria; Pseudomonadati; Pseudomonadota; Gammaproteobacteria; Enterobacterales; Enterobacteriaceae. The record is from RNAcentral.
AAAUUGAAGAGUUUGAUCAUGGCUCAGAUUGAACGCUGGCGGCAGGCCUAACACAUGCAAGUCGAACGGUAACAGGAAUCAGCUUGCUGAUUCGCUGACGAGUGGCGGACGGGUGAGUAAUGUCUGGGAAACUGCCUGAUGGAGGGGGAUAACUACUGGAAACGGUAGCUAAUACCGCAUAACGUCGCAAGACCAAAGAGGGGGACCUUCGGGCCUCUUGCCAUCGGAUGUGCCCAGAUGGGAUUAGCUAGUA